CAUAUUUUAUGUUUUAGUAGUCUGUAAACUUCACAAUUUCAAGCUAUUACUAUCUUCGUCUUAUAUGAGGUAUAAGAGAGAAGUAUGUAAUAGCUUGACAUUG
This 103-nucleotide small nucleolar RNA is filed under the name Lottia gigantea (owl limpet). RNAcentral's name for it is "Small nucleolar RNA snoR97". It matches the Rfam family "Small nucleolar RNA snoR97". Lineage: Eukaryota; Metazoa; Mollusca; Gastropoda; Lottiidae. The record is from Rfam by way of RNAcentral.